RNAcentral lists this non-coding RNA (211 nucleotides) under Halobacillus karajensis. Its description in RNAcentral is "T-box sequence". It matches the Rfam family "T-box leader". Rfam says of the family: Uncharged tRNA acts as the effector for transcription antitermination of genes in the T-box leader family. T-boxes are found upstream of many aminoacyl-tRNA synthetase genes and some amino acid biosynthetic genes usually in Gram-positive bacteria. The anticodon of a specific tRNA base pairs to a specifier sequence within the T-box motif, and the NCCA acceptor tail of the tRNA base pairs to a conserved bulge in the T-box antiterminator hairpin. Lineage: Bacteria; Bacillati; Bacillota; Bacilli; Caryophanales; Bacillaceae. The record is from RNAcentral.
AUACAUUCGUUGAUGAAGAGAGUACAUGUAAGGAGAACUUGCAGCGAGCUGGGGAUGGUGGAAGCCUGGUAGUUGAUUUAUAUGGAACGCACUUCUGAGAAGUUUGGGUGAAAUAAAGUAGCCAAAUCCGGGAGCCCCCGUUAUCAGCUUCGAGUUGGUCUGACAUUCAGACAAUUAGAGUGGCACCGCGGAUUAUAAAACCGUCUCUUAC